GGCCCGAUAGCUCAGCAGGUAGAGCAAAGGACUGAAAAUCCUUGUGUCCCCAGUUCGACCCUGGGUUGGGCCACCA
This 76-nucleotide transfer RNA is filed under the name Mollicutes bacterium. Its description in RNAcentral is "tRNA-Phe". It matches the Rfam family "tRNA". Rfam says of the family: Transfer RNA (tRNA) molecules are approximately 80 nucleotides in length. Their secondary structure includes four short double-helical elements and three loops (D, anti-codon, and T loops). The record is from RNAcentral. Lineage: Bacteria; Bacillati; Mycoplasmatota; Mollicutes. RNAcentral also lists the same sequence under 3 other names.